UGCUCCUGGAGCGGCCGAUAUCUGAUUAGCUAGUUGGUGAGGUAAAGGCUCACCAAGGCGACGAUCAGUAGCUGGUCUGAGAGGACGACCAGCCACACUGGAACUGAGACACGGUCCAGACUCCUACGGGAGGCAGCAGUGGGGAAUUUUGGACAAUGGGCGCAAGCCUGAUCCAGCAAUGCCGCGUGAGUGAAGAAGGCCUUCGGGUUGUAAAGCUCUUUUGUCAGGGAAGAAACGGUAGAGGCUAAUAUCCUUUGCUAAUGACGGUACCUGAAGAAUAAGCACCGGCUAACUACGUGCCAGCAGCCGCGGUAAUACGUAGGGUGCAAGCGUUAAUCGGAAUUACUGGGCGUAAAGCGUGCGCAGGCGGUUUUGUAAGUCUGUCGUGAAAGCCCCGGGCUCAACCUGGGAAUUGCGAUGGAGACUGCAAGGCUUGAAUCUGGCAGAGGGGGGUAGAAUUCCACGUGUAGCAGUGAAAUGCGUAGAGAUGUGGAGGAACACCGAUGGCGAAGGCAGCCCCCUGGGUCAAGAUUGACGCUCAUGCACGAAAGCGUGGGGAGCAAACAGGAUUAGAUACCCUGGUAGUCCACGCCCUAAACGAUGUCUACUAGUUGUCGGGUUUUAAUUAACUUGGUAACGCAGCUAACGCGUGAAGUAGACCGCCUGGGGAGUACGGUCGCAAGAUUAAAACUCAAAGGAAUUGACGGGGACCCGCACAAGCGGUGGAUGAUGUGGAUUAAUUCGAUGCAACGCGAAAAACCUUACCUACCCUUGACAUGUCAGGAAGUC
This 789-nucleotide ribosomal RNA is filed under the name Massilia sp. IC2-278. RNAcentral's name for it is "bacterial SSU rRNA". It matches the Rfam family "Bacterial small subunit ribosomal RNA", at positions 216 to 998 of the family's 1533-position model. The record is from RNAcentral. Lineage: Bacteria; Pseudomonadati; Pseudomonadota; Betaproteobacteria; Burkholderiales; Oxalobacteraceae.